GGGGUGAAGUCGUAACAAGGUAGCCGUACCGGAAGGUGCGGCUGGAUCACCUCCUAACAGGGAGACAAAAAUUGAUUAUGAAGACUGUUUUCUUUCAGUCCAUAAUCCUGUCACCUUAGGUCGAUCGGUACCUCAGCUUGAUAGCUUAAAAAAUAAUGAUUACUCAUUGCUUAUAUACGCUAUUGAUUUCAGUUCCUAAACUUGUCUAGGUCACACCCAAAAACUUUCUUCUGGGCUAUUAGCUCAGGUGGUUAGAGCGCACCCCUGAUAAGGGUGAGGUCCCUGGUUCAAGUCCAGGAUGGCCCAUUCGUUGUUGGGGGUAUAGCUCAGUUGGUAGAGCGCCUGCUUUGCAAGCAGGAUGUCAGCGGUUCGAGUCCGCUUACCUCCACUGAUCCGCUGCCUAAUAACUCUUUAAAAAUGAAGAUUGUUUUCCGUGUGUGAUUUAGCUGUUGUUCGCUGAAUGAACCUAGCUUCAUAUCAUCCCUUGAAAUUUUCAGAUUAAGGUUGAUAAGACGCUGGGCUCACUGUAGUUCUUAAAAGGAUUACAGAAGAGUUCAGUAGAACCUUGACAACUGCAUAGGUAAGUCUGGAAAGAAUAAAGCAUCUCAUAGAUGUAUUUAUUCUAUUGAUUAAGCUACGAGCUUUUUUUAUAGGAUAAAUAUUCAAUUCUUAAAUAAAGAGCCGAGAUCUAUAGUCUUUUCUUUAUGCUUUUUAUAACUGAAUUAUAUCAGUUUAAUUUUGUAUUAAUGGAAAGAUUUUUUAGAUUAUUAUAUGGUCAAGCUACAA
This 786-nucleotide unclassified non-coding RNA is filed under the name uncultured Prochlorococcus sp. Its description in RNAcentral is "partial 16S-23S ribosomal RNA intergenic spacer; may also contain 16S ribosomal RNA and 23S ribosomal RNA". The stretch from base 316 to 388 matches the Rfam family "tRNA". The record is from RNAcentral. Lineage: Bacteria; Bacillati; Cyanobacteriota; Cyanophyceae; Synechococcales; Prochlorococcaceae.